AAUGAAGUGCCUGGCAAAAAAGGAGUAUCUUGAUAGGAUACAUCACGUGAUUUUUCACCUUUAUUA
Molecule: transfer RNA, 66 nt
Filed under: Ocypus brunnipes
Lineage: Eukaryota; Metazoa; Arthropoda; Insecta; Coleoptera; Staphylinidae
Description: tRNA-Ile
Source: RNAcentral